GAUGAGAACGUAGUGAAAUGCGAUAAGUAAUGUGAAUUGCAGAAUUCAGUGAAUCAUCGAAUCUUUGAACGCACAUUGCGCCCGCCAGUAUUCUGGCGGGCAUGCCUGUCUGAGCGUCAUUUCAACCCUCAUGCCCCUAGGGCGUGGUGUUGGGGAUCGGCCAAAGCCCGCGAGGGACGGCCGGCCCCUAAAUCUAGUGGCGGACCCGUCGUGGCCUCCUCUGCGAAGUAGUGAUAUUCCGCAUCGGAGAGCGACGAGCCCCUGCCGUUAAACCCCCAACUUUCCAAGGUUGACCUCAGAUCAGGUAGGAAUACCCGCUGAACUUAAGCAUAUCAAUAAGCGGAGGAA
Molecule: unclassified non-coding RNA, 348 nt
Filed under: soil metagenome
Description: partial contains 5.8S ribosomal RNA, internal transcribed spacer 2, and large subunit ribosomal RNA
Rfam family: 5.8S ribosomal RNA (bases 5-119)
Source: RNAcentral